Molecule: ribosomal RNA, 253 nt
Filed under: uncultured bacterium
Lineage: Bacteria
Description: partial 16S ribosomal RNA
Rfam family: Bacterial small subunit ribosomal RNA
Source: RNAcentral
UACGAAGGGUGCAAGCGUUACUCGGAAUUACUGGGCGUAAAGCGUGCGUAGGUGGUCUGUUAAGUCUGAUGUGAAAGCCCUGGGCUCAACCUGGGAAUUGCAUUGGAUACUGGCAGGCUAGAGUGCGGUAGAGGGUAGUGGAAUUCCCGGUGUAGCAGUGAAAUGCGUAGAUAUCUGGAGGAACACCGAUGGCGAAGGCAGCCCCCUGGGCUAACACUGACGCUCAUGCACGAAAGCGUGGGGAGCAAACAGG